GGGUCAUCAUGGAAACAAGUUAGUCUGAGAUCACCGGUCGCACGCGCAACAACAAACAUGAAGCUUAUUUUAACACUAUCGGUUCUAGUGGCUGCAGUCAUGGCCGAACAAGAUCCGAAGCAACUGGACAAUCUCCUUAGAGAGGGAAAUAACCAAUUUACAGCAAGAAUGUUUUCCGAAGUGGUAAAGAGCAACCCGGAUAAAAGUGUGGUAUUGUCUGCGUUCUCUGUGUUGACUCCUCUGGCUCAACUUAGCUUGGCGUCGGAGGGCGCAUCCCAUGACGAGCUUCUCAAGGCUAUUGGUCUGCCCAACGAUAACGUUACAAAACUUGUAUUUCCUCGUUUGAAUGAAGAGCUGAAAUCAGUGAAAGGUGUCGAGCUCAAAACAGCUAGCAAAAUAUAUGUUGCUGAUGGUUCCGAAUUGAAUCCUGAAUUUUCUGCGAUCACCAAAGAUAUCUUCAACUCUGAAGUGAAGAAUGUCGAUUUCACGAAGAGCACGGAAACAGCAAAGGAAAUCAAUACUUGGGUUGAAGACCAAACCAACAACCGUAUCAAAGAUUUAGUGUCAGCUGAUGACUUAAGUUCCGACACCCGCAGUGUACUCGUCAACGCUAUUUAUUUCAAGGGUAAAUGGGACAGCCCUUUCAAAAAGGAAAGCACGAAGGACGAAGACUUCCACGUCUCCAAAGACAAAACAAUCAAAGUUCCAAUGAUGCACGUACAAGGCGACUUCAAAUAUGCUGAUAGCGACGAGUUGAAUGCUCAGUUGUUGGAGAUGCCUUACGAAGGAGGUGAAGCCUCUUUCAUAGUAAUUCUACCUAAAGAAGUUGACGGCAUUGCGGCUCUCGUAGACAAACUUAAAGAUCCUUCCGCCUUGGAAUCAGCCACAUCAAAGAUGUACACUUUUGAUGUCAACGUCUCUUUGCCCAAAUUCAAGAUUGAAACCAAGACUGAUCUUAAAGACGUCCUUCUAAAGAUGGAUGUGAAACGUGUUUUCGACCCUCAACAAGCCCAACUGAGUCGUUUGUUAAAGGGCGAAGGAAAUUUGUUUGUAAGUAAAGCCAUCCAAAAGGCAUUCAUUGAAGUCAAUGAAGAAGGUGCUGAAGCAGCUGCUGCAAACGAAUUUGCAAUCGGUUAUAGCGGGUACACUACCAGUCCCGCCACUUUUAUUGCGAAUCAUCCUUUCGUAUUCUUUCUUAUGAAAGGGAACAAUAUUCUUUUUGACGGGAUCUUAUACAAUUAAAUGUCAAUAGAAAGUAAAAUUAAUAAACGUUAAUAAACUAAUUAUUUUAUUCAGGACGAGAAAUAAUCCAAUUAUUUUUAAAACGCACCCAAAUCGACUGGCUUGAAAAAAUCAAGUAUCGAAUUUUAAUUUC
This is an RNA transcript of Hyposmocoma kahamanoa, 1375 nucleotides long. It is a transcript of the gene named antichymotrypsin-2-like, with no coding region annotated. The transcript has 10 exons. Lineage: Eukaryota; Metazoa; Arthropoda; Insecta; Lepidoptera; Cosmopterigidae. The record is from RefSeq and is a predicted model, not a curated record.